GGCCGAUGAGGUAAAUGUAAAUGUAGUGGAUUGUGACUUGCACACAACAGGUGCUCGCUUGUGGCGUGGCUCAACCAACCCUUGCUUCUCAGACAGUGUAUUUGCAUUAUCUGCAGUGAGAUGCUGAACAAGAAAGUGACUUAGUGGGAGAAGCGGGUGUUGUCAGAAUAUUUCUGUUUUGUCCUCAUACCUCCACCUCCACCUUGCCAAGCUGGCAAAGACCAAUGGAGGCAGGUGUCAGGGGUUCAGAGAGAGAGGCACAGGGUAGGCAGGAGAUGGAGAGCGAGGGGGAGGAAUUCCAAGCCAGCGAGGAAGAGGAUGACAAUGACUCAAGGGAUUCCAUGAGUCUUUCCAGCGAAUCAGAGGAUUCCCAGAGGGGCGCCGGUGGUCACGGCCAGGGAGCCCCAGGGGGAAGUGUCAGGAGCAGGGUGCCAGCGGAGGAUCCCAAAGUGGCAGCUGGGCGUCAGGACCAGCCUCCCCACCAAAGUGCAGUGAAGGGGUGGAGUUUCCAGUGUGUCAGAGGAAGCAGCUCCAGCAGCAGAGAAAGGAGGGGGUCAGAGCAAGCCGCCCUCCCGGAAGGGGAGGAGCAGUGAAGGGAGUAGUGUAACUGUCAAAAGGAAAGUUAGAGGUUUGGCGCGCGCGCCUGGUUCAAAUGUAGAGGCGCGCGGAAGUGCAGGGAGUCCGGAGGAGGGGCCAGGUCCCAAAGCCCGCAGGAGGGGAAGAGCAGUCUGAUUCCGCGUCAGAGGAAUCCAGAAGGAGCGCAACCCCAGGGGGCAGAAGGACCCUGCGGAAAAGGAAGGAGAGAAAGAGGUGGAGCAGCGCAAGUCUCUUAAAUUGGUGCAGGGGAGGGACUGACUCAGAGGGGACUUCAGCGGUCUAGCGUAAGCGACGUAAGGCUGCGCGCCUAGGAUGUCAAGCAAACCAUGAACUGCAAUAAACACCUUUGUAUAUAAGAAGACAUAGGCGUUGGUCUUUUGUGAGCUAAGACUUGAGGCAGCCUUGACAGCAGGUUUCAUAUUGCAUUAAUAAAACUCCUUUCUAGUUCAGUUCCUAAAGUCUGGGCUCCGUUUUCUCUUCCCAAGAACAUUAUGGGGAUG
Molecule: non-coding RNA, 1097 nt
Organism: Podarcis lilfordi (Lilford's wall lizard)
Lineage: Eukaryota; Metazoa; Chordata; Lepidosauria; Squamata; Lacertidae
Source: the annotation of a GenBank genome assembly